RNAcentral lists this ribosomal RNA (445 nucleotides) under uncultured bacterium. Its description in RNAcentral is "partial 16S ribosomal RNA". It matches the Rfam family "Bacterial small subunit ribosomal RNA", at positions 354 to 796 of the family's 1533-position model. The record is from RNAcentral.
GUGAGGAAUAUUGGUCAAUGGGCGGGAGCCUGAACCAGCCAAGUCGCGUGAAGGAAGAAGGAUCUAUGGUUCGUAAACUUCUUUUACAGGGGAAUAAAGUGCAGGACGUGUCCUGUUUUGUAUGUACCCUGAGAAUAAGGAUCGGCUAACUCCGUGCCAGCAGCCGCGGUAAUACGGAGGAUCCGAGCGUUAUCCGGAUUUAUUGGGUUUAAAGGGUGCGUAGGUGGUUUGAUAAGUCAGCGGUGAAAGUUUGCAGCUUAACUGUAAAAAUGCCGUUGAAACUGUCGGACUUGAGUGUAAAUGAGGUAGGCGGAAUGCGUGGUGUAGCGGUGAAAUGCAUAGAUAUCACGCAGAACUCCGAUUGCGAAGGCAGCUUACUAAGAUACAACUGACACUGAAGCACGAAAGCGUGGGGAUCAAACAGGAUUAGAAACCCUAGUAGUCC